CCUACGGGCGACAGCAGUAGGGAAUAUUGCUCAAUGGGGGAAACCCUGAAGCAGCAACGCCGCGUGGAGGAUGAAGGUUUUAGGAUUGUAAAGUUCUUUUCUAAGGGAAGAAGAAAGUGACGGUACCUUAGGAAUAAGCCUCGGCUAACUACGUGCCAGCAGCCGCGGUAAUACGUAGGAGGCGAGUGUUAUCCGGAAUGACUGGGCGUAAAGGGUGCGUAGGUGGUUUGGCAAGUUAGUAGCGUAACUCCAAGGCUCAACCUUGGAACUACUACUAAAACUGUUGGACUUGAGUGCAGGAGGGGCAACCGGAAUUCCUAGUGUAGCGGUGGAAUGCGUAGAUAUUAGGAGGAACACCAGUGGCGAAGGCGGGUUGCUAGACUGUAACUGACACUGAGGCACGAAAGCGUGGGGAGCAAACAGGAUUAGAUACCCGAGUAGUC
This 443-nucleotide ribosomal RNA is filed under the name uncultured bacterium. Its description in RNAcentral is "partial 16S ribosomal RNA". It matches the Rfam family "Bacterial small subunit ribosomal RNA", at positions 338 to 795 of the family's 1533-position model. The record is from RNAcentral.